CUGCGUGAAGUCGGAAUCGCUAGUAAUCGCGGAUCAGCAUGCCGCGGUGAAUACGUUCCCGGGCCUUGUACACACCGCCCGUCACACCAUGAGAGUCGGGAACACCCGAAGCCCGUAGUCUAACCGCAAGGAGGACGCGGCCUAAGGUGGGUUCGAUAAUUGGGGUGAAGUCGUAACAAGGUACC
This 185-nucleotide ribosomal RNA is filed under the name uncultured bacterium. RNAcentral describes it as "partial 16S ribosomal RNA". It matches the Rfam family "Bacterial small subunit ribosomal RNA", at positions 1316 to 1500 of the family's 1533-position model. The record is from RNAcentral.